RNAcentral lists this ribosomal RNA (253 nucleotides) under uncultured bacterium. RNAcentral's name for it is "partial 16S ribosomal RNA". It matches the Rfam family "Bacterial small subunit ribosomal RNA", at positions 524 to 776 of the family's 1533-position model. The record is from RNAcentral.
UACGAAGGGGGCGAGCGUUGUUCGGAAUCACUGGGCGUAAAGGGUGCGUAGGCGGCGACAAAAGUUAGGAGUGAAAGCCCAGGGCUCAACCUUGGAAUUGCUCUUAAAACUAUGUUGCUCGAAUCUCGGAGAGGAUAGCGGAAUUGUCAGUGUAGCAGUGAAAUGCGUAGAUAUUGACAGGAACACCGGUGGCGUAAGCGGCUAUCUGGACGAGUAUUGACGCUGAGGCACGAAAGCGUGGGGAUCAAACAGG